Mus musculus (house mouse) is the source of this 1316-nucleotide long non-coding RNA. RefSeq annotates it as predicted gene, 34582. The transcript has 3 exons. The record is from RefSeq and is a predicted model, not a curated record. Lineage: Eukaryota; Metazoa; Chordata; Mammalia; Rodentia; Muridae.
UUCCCCGUAGGGCUCUCAGGUCGUGAGCUGGCAUGUUGGGGUACACUGUAUGAAGUUGUGUCUCUGUCCUUCCUCACCUACCUAAGGAAGUCUCUGAUUGGCUUUAAUAAAAAUCAUGGCCAAUCAGUUUGACAGGAACUAGAAGGCAGGACUUCCUGGGAGGGAGAAAGGAAUUCUGGGAAGAAGAAACAGGAAGCACUUUUGCCAGGAGACAUGAAAAGAAUGUGACUAUGGGCCUGGAAGGUUUAGCUAGCCACGUGGCUGGAUGGAACUAGGUAGUCAGGUUAACCUAGAUGAGCUAGUUCAGAGUCUGCCUAGCUAAGGCCUAAGGCUUUGAAAUAUUAAAAAGUGUGGUUAUUUGGUGAAUUAGCUGGUUAAGGAAUAAUUGCCACUGUGUUGAUUUCUAACAUUAAUUAAUAAAUAACAGAACACUAAUAAUCAUUUUACACUGGCAGACUUCGGGAGCGCUGUGGUAUGAAUGUCUGUGUCCUCUUAAACUUUGUGUCCUGACCCUAAACAACAGGGCAGUAAGAUUAAAGAUGAGGCCUUUAAGAGGGCUCUCAUGAAUGAGCUAACUGUUCCUUAGAAAAGGGAAGAGUGAGCAUGUGUCGGCCUUUCUGCAAUGUGAGGACAUGCCUACACGUUACCUAUAAAGGAAGAGUGUCACCAGACAUUGGAUACUCAGUCUUGGACUUCCAGUAAGUUUCCAUUGUUUAUAAGCCACCCUGUUUAUGGUGUUUUGGCAGCAGCCUGGAGGGAGGCACCGAGUUGGUGAGUUUAAUGGUGCAGCCACUAGCUACCAAGUAGGGGGUGGGGAGGGAGACUGAGCAAGACACCUGGGAAACAGCAAUGGCCUUCAGUCACAGACACAGCUGACAAAACAGCAGGGAGGAUCUCCAACGGAAAAGCUGGCACACUGCAAGGACAGGCUGACCACUCACGGAGAGCUUGGCACAGGCCAACUCAAACUGUGUUGUUUAGGAAUGUAUAAGUGGCAACACCAGACAACUGCCAAGAGGAGAACUGUAACCAGAGCUGGGGAGAAGACCUGAGUCCUCACUCCCUCGAUUGGAGAACCUGUUGACUGACUGAGCAGGCUUGGUCAUGGAUUGAUCCAUUGAUAGGUUCAGAGUGAAACAGGUCCUAUAAAGGACCUCCGUGAGACCUCACAGAAGAAAGUAGGUUGACAAGGGAACGUCUUAGAAGAGGAAUACCUUGACUGUGGCCCCUUCUUAUUCCCAUGAGAUCCCCCUCCCUCUUCUUUUACAGGGGACACCUGGUAACAGACAAUAGGAGCCAUUUACCAAAAAUAAGCG